RNAcentral lists this long non-coding RNA (764 nucleotides) under Elaeis guineensis (African oil palm). Its description in RNAcentral is "long non-coding RNA (EGUI_LNC012962)". The record is from RNAcentral. Lineage: Eukaryota; Viridiplantae; Streptophyta; Magnoliopsida; Arecales; Arecaceae.
UCUCCAUUUGGCUGACUAGAAAAGGAAAUGAGCGGUGAUUUUUCUCACUACAUUUCUUGAGUGCGCAGGUAGGGAGGUUAGGAUGAGGCACCACCUCAUCUUUUGGUUUGUUUUAUAUCUUAUCUUGAUAAGAGACAAAGCUAACUAAUUUUAAACCAAUCCUAAUCUAUUAGGAGUUGGUUUUGGCAUGGAAAAGGGCCUCUUCCUAUGUAACAAAAAAUAUUUAAGGUGGGCAUGAAGGCAUGAGGGAUUUUUUUUCUUUGGGUGCAUGCGCCAUAACCAUUUUGCCACCCUCCUUUUCUCAUCCAUGCCAAAUUUUCUAUCACCCCCUUUUCUUCCUUGCCCAAGAUCAGAUCUAAUCUGAUUAAGGCCAUUAGGAGUUAGUUAGGGAGUUAUUUUGUGCAACAAAAUAAAAGUGAGAGAACUAGGGCGUGUGCAAGCGGUUAUACAUGACUUGUUAGCACCCCCUCUUUCUCCUCAACUUCCUCUUCCUCAUUCUUGUUCCCAACGUCCACUUCCACCUCUAGAUAAAGAUCUGAGAGGGUUUAGGUAGAGAAAAGAAUAGAUGAAGAAAAAGGUUUUCUUCAUCUUGUCUGGUGAUCAACAAAUUUGCAUGAAAGGUUCGUGCAACAGUCCCUAAUGCAGCCCUAUUUUUCAAGAUUUAGAAGAAGGGCUCAAAUUUAAGCUGAGGAGUGAGGCCUGCAAGGUGCCAGCACACCGAUGGUCUCGAUACUUCGAUCGGAUAUCUCCAUGCGGAUACCAAC